RNAcentral lists this small RNA (834 nucleotides) under Pongo abelii (Sumatran orangutan). RNAcentral describes it as "retained intron". The record is from RNAcentral. Lineage: Eukaryota; Metazoa; Chordata; Mammalia; Primates; Hominidae.
CAAGAGUGGUGAUCGUGGUGAGACUGUAAGUAGCUGGGCUCCAGUUCUCUGUGUCUGGUCAGGCCAGGGACUCUCCAGGCCUCCUCAGAGGCCUGGGGAUGGGUGUCGGACUUCACCCAGGCAGGAGGAGGAAAGGAGAUCCUGCAAGAUGUCCGGGCCUUAAUCCAAAAAACUGAGUUAAAGCUCAGCCCCAAGUCCCCUCUCCCAGACAGGACCCCCUCUCCCGUGAGUUGGCCCCAGCUCCCGUGAAGAUUGCAGUGGGGAGGUUUCCCUGGGAGUUGGGAGAGAUGGCCACAGUGGGAAGCAGCUGAGGAGAGAGAGAUCUAGCUGAGGGGAGGCCUCAUCCUGCAGCCCCAGCCUCAGCCUCCCCUGGCCAAGAGCUCAUGCUUUCCUUGCUCUCCGCAGGGUCCUGCUGGUCCUGCCGGUCCUGUCGGCCCUGUUGGCGCCCGUGGCCCCGCUGGACCCCAAGGCCCCCGUGGUGACAAGGGUGAGACAGGCGAACAGGGCGACAGAGGCAUAAAGGGUCACCGUGGCUUCUCUGGCCUCCAGGGUCCCCCUGGCCCUCCUGUGAGUAUGCUCAGCCCCUCCCCAGUCCCCAUGCUGUGCUGUGUGAUAGGAGGGGGAGCUUAGCCUCAGUUUCUCCCUCUGGAUAGUCAUUCUUUCUCCUCCCUGGUGGGGACUGGAGUCUAAAGAUUUAUGGGCAUGUCCAAGUAGCUUCUGAGAGGGUGAGGGGUACACAGAGAGGGAUUAUGGGAGAGGUCUCUGCCUAUGGACACCCUCGGGCUAGAUUUCCAGAAUGACGAAGGGGCAUGGGUUGCCCACACUGCCCUUGUC